CCUACGGGUGGCAGCAGUGGGGAAUAUUGGACAAUGGGGGAAACCCUGAUCCAGCGACGCCGCGUGAGUGAAGAAGUAUUUAGGUACGUAAAGCUUCAUUAGCAGGAAAGAAAAUGACGGUACCUGACCAAGAAGCCCCGGCCAACUACGUGCCAGGAGCCGCGGUUACACGGAGGGGGCAAGCGUUAUCCGGAUUUGCGGGGGGUAAAGGGAGUGUAGACGGCAGGGCAAGUCUGGAGUGAAAUGCUGGGGCCCAACCCCGGAACUGCUCUGGAAACUGUGAAGCUGGAGUGGAGGAGAGGUAUGCGGAAUUCCUGGUGUAGCGGUGAAAUGCGUAGAUAUCAGGAGGAACACCGGUGGCGAAGGCAGCUUACUGGAGUGUAACUGACGUUGAGGCUCGAAAGCGUGGGUAGCGAACAGGAUUAGAUACCCUUGUAGUC
Molecule: ribosomal RNA, 440 nt
Filed under: uncultured bacterium
Lineage: Bacteria
Description: partial 16S ribosomal RNA
Rfam family: Bacterial small subunit ribosomal RNA
Source: RNAcentral